Nomascus leucogenys (northern white-cheeked gibbon) is the source of this 1269-nucleotide long non-coding RNA. RefSeq lists it as uncharacterized. The transcript is spliced from 2 exons. NCBI's taxonomy places the organism in Eukaryota, Metazoa, Chordata, Mammalia, Primates, Hylobatidae. The record is from RefSeq and is a predicted model, not a curated record.
UCUGGCAGCUUGGACAGGAGGACCAGACCCUGUCCCGGCCCCAACUCUACUCCAACCCCAGGCAUGCACUGAGCCCUGGCCCCGUCCCCUGUGGACCGUAUGGAGGUGCCUCUACGAUGCUGUCCCCCGACUCCGGCACCAUGGUGCUACCUCCUCUGGCAUCACAAUUCUGCCUCACCAGGACCACAGGGCCAUGGCCCCAGAAAGUGGCCACUGCCUCACUGGCUGUGAGUGUGGGUGGGGCCUCCUUCAUCACACUCGGAGAAGAGGACCCCUGGGCUUCACCAGAUGAACCUGGCAAGGGGUGGGGGGGGGCAGACCACCAGAGAGUGGUGGCCCCCACUGUACGGCAUCCCUGCGGUGCCCCCCGACAAGCCUCUGAGGGGAGGCCCCAUCUUCCCCAUUUUCCGUGAGGAGCCUGAGUGAGCAAGGGGUGGAUGCGACCCUUACCCCAGAGCGAGGUGGCUGUGUCUCCCUGCCCUCCCUGCACUCCCCUUUCACUCGUGGUUCUCAGGGGCAUUUGUCCUGGGGCCACCAGGGGAGAGGGGUCUGGCCCUCAGACUGUCCAGAAACGCCUGGCGGGGUGGGCCUCUGCCACCUGCCCCUUGCCCACACAGGGCAGGGCUGUCGCCUGCGCCCCUGACAGCUCCAGCGCCCCCGCGGCCCUGAGCGAGCCCUGUCCAAGGUGCUGAAGGAGAGGCGCUGACCCCUCGGCUGUUUUGCUGCUCACUGAUGCCCCCGCAAGGGCCAGGGAGGGUCAGGAACGACUUGGGUCUGAGAGUGCCCCUGGGCCACCCUGGGGAGCUGGUGUGUGUGUGUGUGUGUGUGUGUGUGUGUGUGUUUGUCCCAGUCGACAACCAGUGAGGAACUGAGGCCUCUGCCAGACGCUGUGUGAAUAAGCUUAGAAGCAGACGCCUCCUCAGUGGAACCCUCAGAUGACCCAGCCCAGCUGGCACCUCCACUGUAGCUCAGAGCCACCCUGAGCUGAGCCCCUUCUGAGUUCCUGAUCACAGAGGCCAAGUGAGGGUACAAACAGUUCCUGCUGUCUGGCACUCCUUGGUUCUGGGAAAUUUGUUGCACCGACUGGCAUGGGAUUGGGUAGGCCGCCCUCCACCUCCAGGGGCAUUCGCUCAGUAGUUUCAUGCCCCAGAGCCCCCAGUGAGACCAAUUGAAGCUGGCUUCUGGCUAAGAACAAAGCCUUGCCCAGCUCUUCCCCCUUCCAGUCCUGCUUCUCCUGAGAGACUUCCUUAGUAAAGCUCUUGAACAAAA